AUUCUAAGGUGAGCGAGCGAACUCUCGUUAAGGAACUCGGCAAAAUGACCCCGUAACUUCGGGAGAAGGGGUGCUCUUUAGGGUUAACGCCCAGAAGAGCCGCAGUGAAUAGGCCCAAGCGACUGUUUAUCAAAAACACAGGUCUCUGCUAAACCGUAAGGUGAUGUAUAGGGGCUGACGCCUGCCCGGUGCUGGAAGGUUAAGAGGAGUGGUUAGCUUCUGCGAAGCUACGAAUCGAAGCCCCAGUAAACGGCGGCCGUAACUAUAACGGUCCUAAGGUAGCGAAAUUCCUUGUCGGGUAAGUUCCGACCCGCACGAAAGGCGUAACGAUUUGGGCACUGUCUCAACGAGAGACUCGGUGAAAUCAUAGUACCUGUGAAGAUGCAGGUUACCCGCGACAGGACGGAAAGACCCCGUGGAGCUUUACUGUAGCCUGAUAUUGAAAUUCGGCACAGCUUGUACAGGAUAGGUAGGAGCCUUUGAAACGUGAGCGCUAGCUUACGUGGAGGCGCUGGUGGGAUACUACCC
RNAcentral lists this ribosomal RNA (528 nucleotides) under Staphylococcus aureus. RNAcentral's name for it is "partial 23S ribosomal RNA". It matches the Rfam family "Bacterial large subunit ribosomal RNA", at positions 1678 to 2205 of the family's 2925-position model. Lineage: Bacteria; Bacillati; Bacillota; Bacilli; Caryophanales; Staphylococcaceae. The record is from RNAcentral.